RNAcentral lists this non-coding RNA (29 nucleotides) under Rattus norvegicus (Norway rat). Lineage: Eukaryota; Metazoa; Chordata; Mammalia; Rodentia; Muridae. The record is from RNAcentral.
GUAGUGGUGGUGAACUGGUGCAUGCCUGU